AGUAUGAACUUCAUAUACCUUACUGAUAUUAUUCUAACACAAUAAAAAUUAUCGAUUAUCAUGUCGACCGGGGUGACUUUGUCUACCCCGGGGUGACUUUGUCCCACCUCGCGGAAAAAUAUUCAAAUCAGUUUAUAUCCGAUCUCUGUUAUCCGAAAUCGAUGUUCAACAUUGAUAGCCGUAGCCCUGAUCAUUAUCGAGGUUCUACAAUCGAUAUCUUGUCGAAUCUCGAUAUAUUAGUUGAAUUAUCGACAUGGAACCAAACUGCUUGCUUCAUCUUGUGAUUUCAUUGUCGGAAAAUUUCCUAUUAGAAAACUUAUUUCUAAAAUACUUAUGAUAUCGUCAGCUGAGUUCUCCUCAGGCGGAAGCAGAGGUCCCCGAGAAGGACCUUGUUGUACUUUCAACUGCCCAUCCUUGAAUGUUCUCAGCUGAUCGGCUUCAAUUUGCGAGUUUCCGUAAAUCACUGAUCCAUCCAAGUUGAACAGUGAUGAGUGUAAAUUUACCAGUCAUUUGAGGCGUCAAUGAGAUGUCAUGAGCAAUGAACUGCGCCCACACGGCUGACAGAACAACCAGAUGCGAGUGAGGAAUGUCCGAGUGACUGUGCACUAUCAACGACACCUCUCUGGCACUUGGCAGUCUGCCUGAACUGUAAAAACAAAUGACUAUUGAAGUUUUGCUGUUAAGAACACAGAAAUUCGAUUAAUUGUACAGGUUUUACAACCUAUAAACGGUAAAGUGAAUGUGAUUGGAAGCUUAGCUUCUAUUAUAUCUAAGCGUUUCUGUUCAUAAAAAUGUCCUCCAGCUUACUAAAUUUUGCUAAAUAAAGCUAAAAAUUGUCAUUUAACGUUGGAAAAUAUACCAUUGAAAUCAAGAGUAAUUUUCAAAAAGAUACUACACGAUAUAAUAUUUCAAGAGGAAUGAUAAUUAUUUGAUAUUUACCAACGAAAUAAGUGUUCUUUUCCGUCUAUCAGUUCAGAAUUAUUAACAUCUCUCUUGAUAUUUGAAUAUGUAUUCUAAGAGUGCAUGAAAAAGUGAUAAAAGUCCACAAAGAACCCCAUCUUUCCACUAAUAGAGUGAUUAAAUAUGAAUAUUGGAAAAGUCUUUUCUAUACAUGUUAAUAUGUCUUGUCUCCUAAACACAAUUUAUCAUAUUAGAGAGGAUGAAAGCCUUAGACAGAUUAUUCACUUUUGAGUGCCUAUGUCUCUAACAAAACUUAUUCAUCCGGAUAACUUUUAUUUACGUAAUAACUUUUAGCAUUGCGUAUAUGCAUCCAAAAAGUGUACUUGGAUGAUACGCUUCUAAAGGUAUAUCCACAG
This is a long non-coding RNA of Nilaparvata lugens (brown planthopper), 1316 nucleotides long. RefSeq lists it as uncharacterized. NCBI's taxonomy places the organism in Eukaryota, Metazoa, Arthropoda, Insecta, Hemiptera, Delphacidae. The transcript is spliced from 3 exons. The record is from RefSeq and is a predicted model, not a curated record.